RNAcentral lists this long non-coding RNA (1713 nucleotides) under Cyanistes caeruleus (blue tit). RNAcentral's name for it is "lncRNA (ENSCCEG00000017749.1)". The record is from RNAcentral. Lineage: Eukaryota; Metazoa; Chordata; Aves; Passeriformes; Paridae.
GUAGUACAAAGCCUGGAAGGAGGGCUUGGGAGACCAGUAGAGCCAUACUUGAUUAUUCCAGGUGCAACUUGCUUUAAUUUUGCUGCUUUGCAAAAGUAUGAAAUUUCAACAUGCCAUCAUAUUUUGGGUCAAUAUUUAAAAUUAUUGAAAGAAAAGAGUAAGAUGUAGUAGAGGUAGAUGAGUGUUGAUUUUCAUUUUAAUAUAUGGGAUAUUUCUGACUGAAUGACAAAGGUCCACAAUGCCAAUAGACCAAAAUGAAGUUUUGGGCCAAAAGGCACAUCUUGCAGCAUUUCAUCAAGCAAAUACCCAAAAAUUCAGAUGGAAAUCUUGCUGCAGGAUCAUUUUUUGGCUAUGAAAUACAAGAACAGCAACUACAUUAAUAAUUUUUGACUUGAUAUAUUUACUCUCUUCUUUGUAAAUUACUUGUUUCUUAUUUGUGCUUAUAAUGCUAAAUCUCCUUCUUCCUGCACAGCCACAGAGCUUGCCUUGGAGUCCAAAAAUUGUUAUUGGCCUGUUUUCAGCUGAUUCUCUUGACAUCAGUAGGGAGAUCUGCCUCUCCCUGGAAUGCAUUAAUGGAUAAAAAUAUUAUAAAUACAUCAAGAAAUAAAGACAUUUCUUCAAAAUAAGGGAACAGCAGUUCCUACCUCAGCAGACACCUUGCCCCCUCCAUUCAGCAGUAGACAAAAACAUGGCUGUUUGCAUAGAUGCCCUUCUUCUGAGCUGUUGCCUUCCAUUUUAAAUCUGUUAUUUCUAAAGGAUUCGGUCAUAUCAAGUUAAAUUUAAACAAAGGAAGGUCUUGACAAGUCAAGCAAAGAAGCAGUAUCAUUUUACUACAUAGUAAAAAAAAAUAAAUAAAAUACUUGCUAUAAUUUCAUAUCCCCUGUGCAGGAAAAAAUGCCAGCUAGUCAGUCAUGACUGUUUUCUUUUCCCUGGGCUUUCAUGUUGGAAGAGAUGCAGAGGGUAACCUGGGACAUUGGGCAGCUGGGCACUUCUGCAGGUCUGUGGGCGAAAGUGCUGGAGUCUGGCAAUGGGACAGCUCAGCAAGGAGUCAGUUUGUUACUGGAAUGAGCAAGAUAGCAUUGUUGAACUUGACUGUGAUUUCACCAUUUGAGGUAGUCUGGACCAAAAUGUUCAGGCAACAAGGUAUCCUGAUGUUUGCCUCCAGCUUCAAAUAGAUGGUUUUGCUGAAGCUGACAAUUUACUCUUGUUUAUUCUCUGCUCUAAUUUUGCAAACAAAACAGGACUUUCUGAAUACUCAGAAAAUAACUGAUAGUAUUGUUCCAGAAUAGGCUUAAUGAGGGUAACUUCUGCUUUUAGGAAAGAAGUCGGUCACAUGACACCUUUGAACAUUUUCUGAGACCACAUUUGUCAGUAAUGGCUUUUUCCAGUAGUAAGUGUAGGCUUUUACAAAACCACCUUAUGAGCAGCUCUGAGGUCAGUGGUGAAGAGGACAAGAUGUGGAGUCCCACUGAUUUUGUAUAAAUCACAAAAUGUUGGCAUAGUUCACCAAGUGGUUUGGAAUCCUUUUUCUGUUGUCUAAAUUCCUGUUACAGCCAUAACUAACAAAAUAGGAGAGUAAAAAAAGAAAAUUCUUCUCAUUUCUUCUCCAAGUGAGAAGUCCUGGUGACCACUCUGGAGGAAUGUCUUACUGCUAUAGCAUUUCAUUUAUUUUUCUGCAAUAAACUGUCAAUUCCAGGAGGAAGAUACUAUUCU